RNAcentral lists this non-coding RNA (31 nucleotides) under Rattus norvegicus (Norway rat). The record is from RNAcentral. Lineage: Eukaryota; Metazoa; Chordata; Mammalia; Rodentia; Muridae.
CCCAUUUUCAAAGCUUUGCCUGAGACAGGGC